This 74-nucleotide transfer RNA is filed under the name Mesostigma viride. Its description in RNAcentral is "tRNA-Val". It matches the Rfam family "tRNA". Rfam says of the family: Transfer RNA (tRNA) molecules are approximately 80 nucleotides in length. Their secondary structure includes four short double-helical elements and three loops (D, anti-codon, and T loops). Further hydrogen bonds mediate the characteristic L-shaped molecular structure. tRNAs have two regions of fundamental functional importance: the anti-codon, which is responsible for specific mRNA codon recognition, and the 3' end, to which the tRNAs corresponding amino acid is attached (by aminoacyl-tRNA synthetases). tRNAs cope with the degeneracy of the genetic code in two manners: having more than one tRNA (with a specific anti-codon) for a particular amino acid; and 'wobble' base-pairing, i.e. permitting non-standard base-pairing at the 3rd anti-codon position. Lineage: Eukaryota; Viridiplantae; Streptophyta; Mesostigmatophyceae; Mesostigmatales; Mesostigmataceae. The record is from RNAcentral.
GGAGGCAUAGCUCAGUUGGUUAGAGCGCUAUGUUGACAUCGUAGAGGUCACUGGUUCGAAUCCAGUUGUCUCCA